UCGCGCCACUGCGCAGCCGCGAGAGGGCGGUACCACGGCGGCUGCGACAUGGGGGGGCGCGGAGCAGACGCCGGAAGUAGCGGUGGUACAGGUCCCACCGAGGGGUACUCACCGCCGGCGGCGUCCACCCGCGCCGCGGCUAGAGCCAAGGCCCGAGGGGGUGGGCGUGGUGGCCGCCGGAACGCAACACCCUCUGUUCCCUCUUCUCGCGGAGCGGCGCCGCGUCGCUCCCCUCCACCGGCUGCCAUGAGCGAGCGCCUCCGCCCCAGGAAAAGGAGAAGGAAUGGCAAUGAAGAAGACCAUCAUCUUCCCCCGCAGACCAAAAGGAGUAGUAGAAACCCUGUCUUUCAUGAUUCCUGGGACACAGAGACAGUGCCUGUAACGAAAAACAGUAAAGAAAACAGACUAAGAGGAAACAAAGUGUUCUGCGCGUCUUCAAGCAGCGACAGUGGUGGGAGCAGCGGCGGCAGCAGCAUCAACAGCCCGGACCGGGCAAGCGGGCCGGAGAGCAGCUUGAACCACGCGGCGGCCGGUUCCGGCCCUAACACCCCUCAGCCUGUUCCCGAGCAGUCUGCACUGUGCCAGGGCCCGUACUUCCACAUCAACCAGACCCUGAAGGAGGCCCACUUCCAUAGCCUACAGCACCGAGGACGGCCUCCGACAUGAUGUGCCGCCAGUUUCUUGCCUUCUGUGAAGGGACAGCGCUGUGCAGAUUUGAUAUUUCAACUUACGAUGUUUUAAAAAAUUGCACAAAAAUAUGCCUGUUGGCUUUUCAGUCUAUAUUUGAAAUAACGGGUUGACAGGCAGUUGUUUACUUGUGGUUUUGCUGCACUAUUGCAAUUUCAAAGGGGCUUUGAAGCAAUUUUUUAUAGGAUUCUUUUGAGGAGAGAAUGUCUUUCACACUUGUAUACCCAGCUCACUUCUGCUACCGUUACUCCUCCAAAGCCUCCAUCUCAGACUUAGUAGGAAACACGGCACAGUUCUGACAGUCGAGAAGUACGUAAUGACCUUUGUCUCACUCAUAGACUUGUUCUAUCAGCAGCUUCUGUGAUCUCGCCGGGAAUCCGCCUUGGGGUUCAAGAAUUAAGGCGCUGAGGAAUGCUGACCGAGUAUAAGCUAUCUGAACUGCUGUCUAAAGUCCCAAGUAUUGUGAAACCGCUGGACAAGGAUUCACUGUAUGCUUAAAGGAACCCCUAACAGUAACUGGGGGGCCACAUUCCACCGCUGAAACUGGAAAGACUGGUGGCUUAGAAACAAACAAGCAGAGGCACCGUUAGCAG
Molecule: RNA transcript, 1280 nt
Organism: Callorhinus ursinus (northern fur seal)
Lineage: Eukaryota; Metazoa; Chordata; Mammalia; Carnivora; Otariidae
Gene: VCF1
Gene name: VCP nuclear cofactor family member 1
Source: RefSeq, a predicted model, not a curated record